This 97-nucleotide transfer RNA is filed under the name Blattabacterium sp. (Cryptocercus punctulatus) str. Cpu. RNAcentral's name for it is "tRNA-Lys". The stretch from base 1 to 73 matches the Rfam family "tRNA". From Rfam's summary of the family: Transfer RNA (tRNA) molecules are approximately 80 nucleotides in length. Their secondary structure includes four short double-helical elements and three loops (D, anti-codon, and T loops). The record is from RNAcentral. Lineage: Bacteria; Pseudomonadati; Bacteroidota; Flavobacteriia; Flavobacteriales; Blattabacteriaceae.
GACCUGAUAGCUCAGCUGGUAGAGCAUUACACUUUUAAUGUAAGGGUCCUGGGUUCGAAUCCCAGUCAGGUCAUUAUUACAUUCAUCACAUCAUUUA